GGGGCCUCUUCAGCUGGCUGGCUUGAGAAUAUCUGGCUUAAUGUUGAGUCUUGGGUUCAGCUCUCUCAUUUGUCCUAAGGACAGAAGAAACCUAAGGGACAGUGAGAAAGUGAGAGACACAGUAGAGCCAUUUAAGUUGGAGAAGACAGAGGGAGCAGAAAACAACACAGGCUGGCGGGGGCUCGGAUUUAUCCUGGCUAUGCAGUUGAGACAUCUGCUUCUAUCAUGA
This 229-nucleotide long non-coding RNA is filed under the name Rhinopithecus bieti (black snub-nosed monkey). RNAcentral's name for it is "lncRNA (ENSRBIG00000045828.1)". The record is from RNAcentral. Lineage: Eukaryota; Metazoa; Chordata; Mammalia; Primates; Cercopithecidae.